AACGAACGCUGGCGGCAUGCCUAACACAUGCAAGUCGAACGAGACCUUCGGGUCUAGGUGCGCACGGGUGCGUAACGCGAGGGAAGCUGCACGUGGGUUGGGAAUAACUCCCCGCAAGGGGUGCCAAUACCGGACAAUGUCUUAGGACCCAUGAUUUCUUGGCUUUGGAGGGGCCCGCGUGAGAUUAGCAACUGGGUAAGGUAAACGCCUACCAAGGCUACGAUCCAUAGCUGGUCUGGGAGGAGGGCCCGCACCACUGGGGGUGGGACCCGGCCCAGAUGUUUGCGGGAGGCAGCAGUGGGGACUGUUGGACGACGGGCGAAUGCCUGAUGCAGUCAUGUCGCGUAAGUGAGGUAGUCGUUAGGAUUGUAAAGCUGUUUUACCCGCGCUGAUAAUGACAGUACCGGGAGAAUAAGCUCCGGCUAACUACGUG
This 433-nucleotide ribosomal RNA is filed under the name uncultured bacterium. RNAcentral describes it as "partial 16S ribosomal RNA". It matches the Rfam family "Bacterial small subunit ribosomal RNA", at positions 29 to 507 of the family's 1533-position model. The record is from RNAcentral.